AGAGCCUUGGCCAGUCCUAUCCCUGGGACUCACCUAUCCUCUUCUGGAGCAAGAAAGCUUCUUUCACUGAUGCAGAAUGGCAGCCUGUCUGCCACUCAGACUCCCAGAGAGGGCACCCCAAGGCAAUCCAAGGCCAGGGUGGGCCCCGGGGUGUGCCCAGGAUGUGCCUAGAGCCCAGGUCCUCAUCGAAGGCCGGAUCUCCAGCCACCUGCCUCUCAGCUCACAGACUCUUCCUAACAACAGGCUGAUUUCCCCCUCCCUUGUGUGAUAUACAAGUUUACCAGCAAUAGCUGAUGUCUCCUAUUGGCCCUAAGAAGGCCUGCAUUAG
This 328-nucleotide long non-coding RNA is filed under the name Phascolarctos cinereus (koala). RNAcentral's name for it is "lncRNA (ENSPCIG00000013722.2)". The record is from RNAcentral. Lineage: Eukaryota; Metazoa; Chordata; Mammalia; Diprotodontia; Phascolarctidae.